UACGUAGGCAGCGAGCGUUGUUCGGAAUUACUGGGCGUAAAGCGCACGUAGGCGGAUACUUAAGUUAGGGGUGAAAUCCCAGAGCUCAACUCUGGAACUGCCUCUAAUACUGGGUAUCUCGAGUUCGAGAGAGGUGAGUGGAAUUCCGAGUGUAGAGGUGAAAUUCGUAGAUAUUCGGAGGAACACCAGUGGCGAAGGCGGCUCACUGGCUCGAUACUGACGCUGAGGUGCGAAAGCGUGGGGAGCAAACAGG
Molecule: ribosomal RNA, 253 nt
Filed under: uncultured bacterium
Lineage: Bacteria
Description: partial 16S ribosomal RNA
Rfam family: Bacterial small subunit ribosomal RNA
Source: RNAcentral